This is a non-coding RNA of Castor canadensis (American beaver), 620 nucleotides long. Lineage: Eukaryota; Metazoa; Chordata; Mammalia; Rodentia; Castoridae. The record is from RefSeq and is a predicted model, not a curated record.
GGAAGCCAGCCAGCUUGAGCCUCAGGGAGCAGCAUGAGGACCUCUCCCACUAUGGCCUGGACUCCUCUCUUCUUCGGCCUCCUCCUGCACUGUACAGACUCUGUAGCCUCUUAUGUGCUGACUCAGCCAUCCUCAGCGUCAGUGACACUGGGACAGACGGCCAGGAUCACCUGUGGAGGAAACGGCAUUGGAAACAAAUAUGUGCACUGGCACCAGCAGAAGGCAGGCCAGGCCCCUGUGCUGGUCAUUAUUAUAGUAGUAACAGGCCCUCAGGCAUCCUGGACAGAUUCUCUGGCUCCAACUCUGGAAACACAGCCACCCUGACCAUCAGCAGUACCCAGGCUGAGGAUGAGGCUGAUUAUUACUGCCAGGUGUGGGACAGCAGCAGUGAUGCUCACUGUGACACAGACACAUGAGGAAAUGAGACAAAAACUGGACACCAGCCUGGCUCUCACAGUCCCUCCCAAGUAUGUUCACACUGACAGUAGCCUGCCUGACACAUGGAGUGAAAAGCCUCCCCAGUUCUGAAUGAACAGAAAAUUCAAGUUCAUCAAAUUGCCUGCCUAGGAUGGUGUAGAACUCUUACAAUUGAACCUCGGAGGAGGAUGUGAUGAAAUAAA